RNAcentral lists this ribosomal RNA (761 nucleotides) under Bacillus sp. (in: firmicutes). RNAcentral's name for it is "bacterial SSU rRNA". It matches the Rfam family "Bacterial small subunit ribosomal RNA", at positions 69 to 810 of the family's 1533-position model. The record is from RNAcentral. Lineage: Bacteria; Bacillati; Bacillota; Bacilli; Caryophanales; Bacillaceae.
AUGGAUUAAGAGCUUGCUCUUAUGAAGUUAGCGGCGGACGGGUGAGUAACACGUGGGUAACCUGCCCAUAAGACUGGGAUAACUCCGGGAAACCGGGGCUAAUACCGGAUAACAUUUUGAACCGCAUGGUUCGAAAUUGAAAGGCGGCUUCGGCUGUCACUUAUGGAUGGACCCGCGUCGCAUUAGCUAGUUGGUGAGGUAACGGCUCACCAAGGCAACGAUGCGUAGCCGACCUGAGAGGGUGAUCGGCCACACUGGGACUGAGACACGGCCCAGACUCCUACGGGAGGCAGCAGUAGGGAAUCUUCCGCAAUGGACGAAAGUCUGACGGAGCAACGCCGCGUGAGUGAUGAAGGCUUUCGGGUCGUAAAACUCUGUUGUUAGGGAAGAACAAGUGCUAGUUGAAUAAGCUGGCACCUUGACGGUACCUAACCAGAAAGCCACGGCUAACUACGUGCCAGCAGCCGCGGUAAUACGUAGGUGGCAAGCGUUAUCCGGAAUUAUUGGGCGUAAAGCGCGCGCAGGUGGUUUCUUAAGUCUGAUGUGAAAGCCCACGGCUCAACCGUGGAGGGUCAUUGGAAACUGGGAGACUUGAGUGCAGAAGAGGAAAGUGGAAUUCCAUGUGUAGCGGUGAAAUGCGUAGAGAUAUGGAGGAACACCAGUGGCGAAGGCGACUUUCUGGUCUGUAACUGACACUGAGGCGCGAAAGCGUGGGGGAGCAAACAGGAUUAGAUACCCUGGUAGUCCACGCCGUAAACAUG